Molecule: long non-coding RNA, 1050 nt
Filed under: Anas platyrhynchos platyrhynchos (common mallard)
Lineage: Eukaryota; Metazoa; Chordata; Aves; Anseriformes; Anatidae
Description: lncRNA (ENSAPLG00000026697.1)
Source: RNAcentral
AGCCCCGCGAGGAAGGAUGACUCAUUGGGGCUGGAACACGUUUCGGGGAGAGGGAGCAGGGGGUGCAGGGGGACGGCAGCCCCCCAGUGGGCACAGCCCCCGCCGGGACCCCCGCUGUCCCCUCAGUGCCACCUCCAGGCGGGACACCCGAGGGGAGCCCUCCCGGAGGUCAUUUCCCGGGGGCUGUUGGGGGGAAAUGCCCCUUCCUCGCCCUUUUGCUCCGUGCCCAAAAGUGCCACCGGCGCCUUGGGGCCGCGGCGAGCCACAAAGGGCAACCUCGUGGCUCUUCUCCCCGCGGCACCUCCAGCUCCUGCCGAGCACCACGGGGGCUCUGCGCCCCCCUGCGCCUCCCCCUGCCCUCGCCUCCCCCCGAAACGCCGCCGAGGAGGGUCCCCGGGGAGCCCCCCGGCAGCCGGGGCCCACGCGCUCCUUUUCACCUCGCCGCUUCGCCUGGGCGGCUCGGCUCGUCACGAGCUGUUUCCUCUCCCCUCCGCAGACGGGGAGGCCACGCGGCAGCUGACCCAUCCAACCCAGCUGCAAAAAUCGGUCCUGACUCCGAGUCUCUUGCUGUUAGCUCACGCUGCCUCCCGACGCGCGCUGCGGGCGCUGUUCCAGCCCUCAGCCGGGUGCUCGGGGUGCUCGGGGCUGUGCGCCCCCCGUUCCCGGCAGGCCGAGGUGCCCCAAUUCACCCGGGCACAGCCCCAAGGCCAGAACCCCUCGUCUCACCCCAUUUUUCCCCCAUUUUUCCCCAAACUUGGCAGUUUUGCAAGCAGAGCUCUGCGGCGCACUCGAAGCCUCGGAGCUGGGUGUGAAAGCUCCGUGCUGGCUUUUUCCAUGGGCUGCCCCUGCAGAUUGGGGGGAAAAGGGAAAAAAAUGGUGGUUUUGGGGCUGUCCCGCUGCCAGCUCAGCGGGGUGCUGUGGGUGACAGCGGGCUCGUGCCAAGCGCUGCCUCGGGUGUCCCCGGCGGCGGCGAGAAGCAAUUUGCACCCUCGGCUGAGCACAGCCCCAGCCAGACACCAUGGAGCUGGGGGGGACACACACACCCCGUAA